GAAUGAACUCUUUGCUUUCAUUUCCCUUUGUGGUUCGAUUUGAUCCCAAGAAGUCUUGGAGCAAUGAAGUCUACCUCCAGCUUAUUUGCAUAAGUUCACCAGAGAAGCUCUAAAGCAGUUGCAUAAGACCAAGAGGGUAUUCCAGUAAAAUUCAAAAUAAUCUGCAGAAAUGGCAACUCUUCCUCAUCGUCCUCACCGGCUGCUCCUCAAUACAGAACCAAGUACACCAG
This 230-nucleotide unclassified non-coding RNA is filed under the name Hevea brasiliensis (rubber tree). Lineage: Eukaryota; Viridiplantae; Streptophyta; Magnoliopsida; Malpighiales; Euphorbiaceae. The record is from RNAcentral.